GCCAGACUCCUACGGGAGGCAGCAGUGGGGGAUAUUGCACAAUGGGGGGAACCCUGAUGCAGCGACGCCGCGUGGGUGAAGGAGCGUUUCGGCGCGUAAAGCCCUCUCGGCAGGGAAGAAGGAGGACGGUACCUGACUAAGAAGCCCCGGCUAACUACGUGCCAGCAGCCGCGGUAAUACGUAGGGGGCAAGCGUUAUCCGGAUUUACUGGGUGUAAAGGGGGCGCAGACGGCAGCGCAAGCCAGGAGUGAAAGCCCGGGGCCCAACCCCGGGACUGCUCUUGGAACUGCGCGGCUGGAGUGCAGGAGGGGCAGGCGGAAUUCCUGGUGUAGCGGUGAAAUGCGUAGAUAUCAGGAGGAACACCGGUGGCGAAGGCGGCCUGCUGGACUGUACCCGACGCUGAGGCGCGAAAGCGUGGGGAGCAAACAGGAUUAGAUACCCGUGUA
Molecule: ribosomal RNA, 446 nt
Filed under: uncultured bacterium
Lineage: Bacteria
Description: partial 16S ribosomal RNA
Rfam family: Bacterial small subunit ribosomal RNA
Source: RNAcentral